GACGAACGCUGGCGGCGUACUUAACACAUGCAAGUCGAACGGAAAGGCCCUGCUUUUGUGGGGUGCUCGAGUGGCGAACGGGUGAGUAACACGUGAGUAACCUGCCCUUGACUUUGGGAUAACUUCAGGAAACUGGGGCUAAUACCGGAUAGGAGCUCCUGCUGCAUGGUGGGGGUUGGAAAGUUUCGGCGGUUGGGGAUGGACUCGCGGCUUAUCAGCUUGUUGGUGGGGUAGUGGCUUACCAAGGCUUUGACGGGUAGCCGGCCUGAGAGGGUGACCGGCCACAUUGGGACUGAGAUACGGCCCAGACUCCUACGGGAGGCAGCAGUGGGGAAUAUUGCACAAUGGGCGGAAGCCUGAUGCAGCAACGCCGCGUGCGGGAUGACGGCCUUCGGGUUGUAAACCGCUUUAGCCUGUGACGAGGCGUGAGUGACGGUAAUGGGUAAAGAAGCACCGGCUAACUACGUG
This 468-nucleotide ribosomal RNA is filed under the name uncultured bacterium. RNAcentral's name for it is "partial 16S ribosomal RNA". It matches the Rfam family "Bacterial small subunit ribosomal RNA", at positions 28 to 507 of the family's 1533-position model. The record is from RNAcentral.